RNAcentral lists this transfer RNA (75 nucleotides) under bacterium. RNAcentral's name for it is "tRNA-Glu". It matches the Rfam family "tRNA". From Rfam's summary of the family: Transfer RNA (tRNA) molecules are approximately 80 nucleotides in length. Their secondary structure includes four short double-helical elements and three loops (D, anti-codon, and T loops). The record is from RNAcentral. RNAcentral also lists the same sequence under 1 other name.
GGCCCCAUCGUCUAGUCUGGUCUAGGACAUUUGGUUCUCAGCCAAGAGACUGCGGUUCAAAUCCGCAUGGGGCUA